Alosa alosa (allis shad) is the source of this 2329-nucleotide long non-coding RNA. RefSeq lists it as uncharacterized. Lineage: Eukaryota; Metazoa; Chordata; Actinopteri; Clupeiformes; Clupeidae. The record is from RefSeq and is a predicted model, not a curated record. The transcript is spliced from 5 exons.
UCCAAAAUCCUGAACCACCCCUUUAAGAAGAUUGUGAGACAGACUAACUGCUUCCGUAACAUUUUGAAGUCUAUGGCAAAAAAACAUCAGUCCAUGAUUGCAUACCAUCUCCAUAGUUCAAAUGUCAAAAAACCUGCAGUGUCUGUGUCAAAGAUGUCCAGAGUGCCAUUAGAGGUUGUAAAUGACAACAUACGAGAAUUUCUAUUACAGAAAUCUCCUGAAGAGACAGCUGUUAAUUUGACAAAACAGGCAGAAUUUCGGGGCACCAGUUACGGUGUUGGCAUGAUCCUGGUAUAUGGCCACACUGGUGGAUUGCCCGACUUUGCUGAAAUACUGCAAAUCAUCAUUGUUCGUGACAGCUUAGUGUUUGUGGUGAAAUUGCAAAGUGCGUGGUACCUUGAGCGUUUCAGAUGUUUCAAGUUAGAGUCCACAAGCAUAGUCAAAGUGAUUGAGCACUCACAACUCACUGACACAUACCCAUUGGCAACUUAUUCAUUGCAAGGUGAUCGAAUGGUUUCUCUGAAACACCACAUCUGCCUGUAAAACUAGUUCUGCUUGCCCAAGAUUAUGAUGUCUGCCCCAACUCAACUACGUGUGAUUAUUGAAGAGACUCAAGUUCACAAGUUGACCCUACCAAAUGGAGUCCCUAGCACUUUAGAUGAACUUUUAGAAGUUGCACAGGGUCAUUUUCAACUCCAAGGGAGCUUUACUGUUAUGUACAUGGACAAAGACUUUGAUAACCAAUUCUUCACUCUAACAUCAACAGAUGUGGUUAAGGACAAAGACACAAUCAAACUAGUUAGAAUGGACGAGUGUGAUUCUGACAUUGACUCCCAUCAACAAGUCAGUUGCUUCCUCUCCUCCAGUGUCACUGGAUGUGUCUUUGCAGGAUGACAAUUCUGGAAUUAGCUCAGCUGACAUUAUCAUUUUACCACAGUCCCCAGAAUGCCGAUCAGAACCAUGGCCAACUAAUUUUCAGAUACCCACCUUUUCAUACGAUGUUGAAAUGCUCCUUAAUGCAGGAAAUAAGGCUUAUGAAAGUGAUGGUUCAUUCCUUCAGAAUCCAACCAUGAACUCAAGCAUACUUGAGAAACUUGCUGACACUGUGUUCUACUACACUGCUUAUCCCACUGGCCGUCAAAGACUGGCAGUUGUAGAAGCUCUGUUAAAAAAGCAUCCAUGCCUAAGGGAGCCUGAUACCUCAUUUUCAGGCAUGUAUGGGUGGCAGCAGCGUCUUACAUACAAGAUGGCUAAUUACCGUAGCAAACUGAAAAGGCUUGAAGUACCUUGUCCUGAGCUUGAUGUCAACUCAUUGAGAAGGAAACUCCCGGGUGAGCGAAAUCCGGCAAAAAAUUGCAAGAGACCGAAGAAGGCAGAGGUGAACUACCUUCCUCCACAUUCAAGUGGAGAAACAAGCGACAGUCUGGAGAUGGAAAGACAGGAACUUCUUAAUGAGGUAAAGAAGAGUAACAACACCAAGGUGAUUCAAGAGAAAAUGGCCAAAACAUUCUCGAUUCGAAGGCUUAAGAUUGUGAGUGAAAGUCCAGCUGCUGAUGACUUCAGAGAGAGAUGGCCUGCUUUGUUGACCUGUUCCAUUGGGCACUAACAAUGUUUCUAUAAUAAAUAUAAUUCCACCAUGAAUAUCUAUAAGGUUUAAAUUCUCUCCUUAUAAUUUGAAUUUUCAUUUAGCACCAGAUUAUUCAUCUCCUUACCUGAUAUUGUAUUUGUGAUUUAUGUCAAUGCAGAUCAAGGAGGAAUUCAGGAGAAUAACCACAAUGUCCCUGGAGCAGAGCUAAGGCCAAGGGAGGUGUUUCGGGACCACGCUGAGACUGUUCUUGUACAGACUAAGUCAGAGUCCUGACCUCAACCCAGGAGAACACCUUUGGGAGGAAUUAGAGCGCAGACUGAGAGACUGUCUCCUCGUCCAACAUCAGUGUGUGACCUCACAAAUGCGCUUCUGGAAGAAUGGUCAAAAAAUCCCAUAAACACACUCCUAAACCUUGUGGAGCCUUUCCAGAAGAGUUGAAGCUGUUAUAGCUGCAAAGAGUGGACUGACGUCAUAUUAAACCCUAUGGAUUAAGAAUGGGAUGUCACUUAAGUUCAUAUGCGCAUCAAGGCAGAACCAAAGCAUUGAGGAGAAACGUGACACUGUUAUCCGCAGCCUCAUUGUGUACCUGGGUGAGAAAGUGGAGGACCUUUUUGAAGAUUGCCAGGAGGACUGCCGCAGUGAUGCCAGGCAACAUGUCCUCAAAAUCCUGGUGGUUCAUGGUGCAGAGGAUCCAGCUGAUGUGGCCAUCGUUGUUGAAGGAAAGAUGAUCGAAGGAUGUGG